Molecule: ribosomal RNA, 253 nt
Filed under: uncultured bacterium
Lineage: Bacteria
Description: partial 16S ribosomal RNA
Rfam family: Bacterial small subunit ribosomal RNA
Source: RNAcentral
UACGUAGGGAGCAAGCGUUGUCCGGAAUCAUUGGGCGUAAAGCGCGCGUAGGCGGCCUCGUAAGUCCGCUGUAAAAGUCACAGGCCCAACCUGUGAACGCCGGUGGAUACUGCGAGGCUAGAGUCCGGAAGAGGCGAGUGGAACUCCUGGUGUAGCGGUGGAAUGCGCAGAUAUCAGGAAGAACACCAACGGCGAAGGCAGCUCGCUGGGACGGUACUGACGCUGAGGCGCGAAAGCGUGGGGAGCGAACAGG